RNAcentral lists this ribosomal RNA (253 nucleotides) under uncultured bacterium. RNAcentral describes it as "partial 16S ribosomal RNA". It matches the Rfam family "Bacterial small subunit ribosomal RNA", at positions 524 to 776 of the family's 1533-position model. The record is from RNAcentral.
UACGUAGGGAGCAAGCGUUGUUCGGAUUUACUGGGCGUAAAGGGCGCGUAGGCGGCGCGGUAAGUCACUUGUGAAAUCUCUGAGCUUAACUCAGAACGGCCAAGUGAUACUGCAGUGCUUGAGUGUGGAAGGGGCAAUCGGAAUUCUUGGUGUAGCGGUGAAAUGCGUAGAUAUCAAGAGGAACACCAGUGGCGAAGGCGAGUCCCUGGACAACACCUCACACUGAGGCACGAAAGCUAGGGGAGCAAACAGG